GAGGAUCCAAGCGUUAUCCGGAAUCAUUGGGUUUAAAGGGUCCGCAGGCGGUCUUUUAAGUCAGAGGUGAAAUCCUAUCGCUCAACGAUAGAACUGCCUUUGAUACUGAAAGACUUGAGUUAUUGUGAAGUGGUUAGAAUAUGUAGUGUAGCGGUGAAAUGCAUAGAUAUUACAUAGAAUACCGAUUGCGAAGGCAGAUCACUAACAAUAUACUGACGCUGAGGGACGAAAGCGUGGGUAGCGAACAGGAUUAGAUACCCUGGUAGUCCACGCCGUAAACGAUGGAUACUAGCUGUUUGACCAACAUUGGUUGGUUGAGUGGCUAAGCGAAAGUGAUAAGUAUCCCACCUGGGGAGUACGCUCGCAAGAGUGAAACUCAAAGGAAUUGACGGGGGCCCGCACAGGCGGUGGAGCAUGUGGUUUAAUUCGAUGAUACGCGAGGAACCUUACCAGGGCUUAAAUGUAAGUCGCAUGGACCAGAGAUGGACCUUUCUUCGGACUACUUACAAGGUGCUGCAUGGUUGUCGUCAGCUCGUGCCGUGAGGUGUCAGGUUAAGUCCUAUAACGAGCGCAACCCCUAUCGUUAGUUGCCAGCAAGUUGUGUUGGGUACUCUAGCGAGACUGCCGGUGCAAACCGAGAGGAAGGUGGGGAUGACGUCAAAUCAUCACGGCCCUUACGUCCUGGGCUACACACGUGCUACAAUGGUCGGUACAGAGAGCAGCCACUCCGCGAGGAGGAGCGAAUCUUCAAAACCGAUCUCAGUUCGGAUCGCAGUCUGCAACUCGACUGCGUGAAGCUGGAAUCGCUAGUAAUCGCAUAUCAGCCAUGAUGCGGUGAAUACGUUCCCGGGCCUUGUACACACCGCCCGUCAAGCCAUGGAAGCUGGGGGUACCUGAAGUCCGUCACCGUAAGGAGCGGCCUAGGGUAAAACUGGUAACUGGGGCUAAGUCGUAACAAGGUAGCCGUACCGGAAGGUGCGGCUGGAACACCUCCUUUCUAGAGAAAGACGACAACAACAAGAUUGAUAUCAGAAUGUUAUCGCUUGCUGUCAUUUUUUUAUAAUAUACUGUUUAUUGAAUCCCAAAAAAGUAGAGUCUCAUAGCUCAGCUGGUUAGAGCGCUACACUGAUAAUGUAGAGGUCGGCAGUUCGAGUCUGCCUGAGACUACUAUUUGUUGUAUAAGCAAGGGAUUUAAUAUAACAGAAACAGAGAUUCUAGGGUGAGUAAUUGGCCCCUUUAAAAGUAAGGUCCUAGUUAACACCAGGAUUUUUUACAUGGGGGAUUAGCUCAGCUGGCUAGAGCGCCUGCCUUGCACGCAGGAGGUCAUCGGUUCGACUCCGAUAUUCUCCACGAAUUAAUUUUAGGAUUAAUUAAAGUUCAUUGACAUAUUGAAAAGAUACAAGAGUUAACUAUUAUAUUAUAUAAUAGAGUAACGAGCAAAUAAUAGAGAAUUUUUUAUAAGUAAAAUACAAUUAAUAAAGAAAGAGUAAUAGGUUACGAUAGGCUAAUUAAGAGCGUAUGGGGAAUGCCUAGGCUCUCAGAGGCGAAGAAGGACGUGAUAAGCUGCGAAAAGUUACGGGGAGUGGCACAUACACUGUGAUCCGUAAAUAU
Molecule: small RNA, 1611 nt
Filed under: uncultured marine bacterium
Lineage: Bacteria
Description: bacterial SSU rRNA
Rfam family: Bacterial small subunit ribosomal RNA (bases 1-997)
Source: RNAcentral